Long non-coding RNA from Oryzias melastigma (Indian medaka), 617 nucleotides. RefSeq lists it as uncharacterized. The record is from RefSeq and is a predicted model, not a curated record. Lineage: Eukaryota; Metazoa; Chordata; Actinopteri; Beloniformes; Adrianichthyidae. The transcript is spliced from 3 exons.
AAUUAAAUAUUUAAUGGUGUCAUUCUUUAUAUUGACACUUGUGGCUUUAGUAAGAACUAUUUGAUUUGAUAGUUCCUAACCUUUUUUCUCCCUCUUUUUUGGUGUGGGGUGUUAUAUUUCUUCCAGAGUUCGUGGGGAUCAUGGAGGAGAAGAUGUGGAGGUCGCACGAUUGAUGUUUACUGUCCGUGGCACAGAAAGAAGCAGUUUCAUCUCAGGAAAGAGUGUGCACAAUCAACGAAUAGAACGACUAUGGAGAGAUCUCUGGGUGGCCGUUACAUCCAUCUACUAUGAAGUUCUUCAUAACCUUGAGGAAGAAAACCUUCUUGACAUUUCAAAUUCUGCACACCUCUUCUGCUGCCACCAUGUGUUUCUGCCUCGCCUGCAAGACGAUUUGGAUACAUUUUGCAGUGGAUGGGACAAUCAUCCACUACGAACAGAAAGCAACAUGACCCUCAACCAGCUGUGGGAGUAGGGUCGCACAUAUCAUCCUGUUCCUGUACCAGAAAACACACAGGAGUUCCUGAUUCCUGACAUUGACUGGGAAGAAAGUGGGCUCUCCUGCCAGAACCAUUCAAGCAUUGUUGUUCCAAAAACGGACUGUCCACUGACAGAGGAAC